CAGGGAAUAUUGCGCAAUGGGCGAAAGCCUCACGCAGCGACGCCGCGUGAGGGAUGAAGGCCUUCGGGUCGUAAACCUCUUUCAGUGGAGAAGAAGCGAAAGUGACGGUAUCCACAGAAGAAGCCCCGGCCAACUACGUGCCAGCAGCCGCGGUAAUACGUAGGGGGCAAGCGUUGUCCGGAUUUAUUGGGCGUAAAGGGCUCGUAGGCGGCUUAGUAAGUCGGUCGUGAAAUACCGGGGCUCAACCCCGGGAUGUCGAUCGAAACUGCUAUAGCUUGGGUCCGGUAGAGGAGAAUGGAAUUCCCGGUGUAGCGGUGAAAUGCGCAGAUAUCGGGAGGAACACCAACAGCGAAGGCAGUUCUCUGGGCCGGUACCGACGCUGAGGCGCGAUAGCGUGGGGAGCAAACAGGAUUAGAUACCCUGGUAGUCCACGCCGUAAACGAUGGGUACUAGGCGCCGGGGGGAGCGACCCCUUCGGUGCCGUCGCUAACGCAAUAAGUACCCCGCCUGGGGAGUACGGCCGCAAGGCUG
This 531-nucleotide ribosomal RNA is filed under the name uncultured bacterium. RNAcentral describes it as "bacterial SSU rRNA". It matches the Rfam family "Bacterial small subunit ribosomal RNA", at positions 355 to 896 of the family's 1533-position model. The record is from RNAcentral.